GACUCCUACGGGAGGCAGCAGUGGGGAAUAUUGCACAAUGGGCGCAAGCCUGAUGCAGCAACGCCGCGUGAGUGAUGAAGGCCUUCGGGUCGUAAAGCUCUGUCCUCAAGGAAGAAUAAAUGACGGUACUUGAGGAGGAAGCCCCGGCUAACUACGUGCCAGCAGCCGCGGUAAUACGUAGGGGGCAAGCGUUAUCCGGAAUCACUGGGCGUAAAGGGUGCGUAGGCGGUUUUCAAGUCAGAAGUGAAAGGCUAUGGCUCAACCAUAGUAAGCUUUUGAAACUGUUAAACUUGAGUGCAGGAGAGGAAAGUGGAAUUCCUAGUGUAGAGGUGAAAUUCGUAGAUAUUAGGAGGAACACCAGUGGCGAAGGCGACUUUCUGGACUGUAACUGACGCUGAGGCACGAAAGCGUGGGGAGCGAACAGGAUUAGAUACCCUGGUAG
This 442-nucleotide ribosomal RNA is filed under the name uncultured bacterium. Its description in RNAcentral is "bacterial SSU rRNA". It matches the Rfam family "Bacterial small subunit ribosomal RNA", at positions 334 to 793 of the family's 1533-position model. The record is from RNAcentral.